Molecule: ribosomal RNA, 271 nt
Filed under: uncultured bacterium
Lineage: Bacteria
Description: partial 16S ribosomal RNA
Rfam family: Bacterial small subunit ribosomal RNA
Source: RNAcentral
UACGGGGGGAGCAAGCGUUGUUCGGAUUUACUGGGCGUAAAGGGCGCGUAGGCGGCGUGACAAGUCACUUGUGAAAUCUCCGGGCUUAACUCGGAACGGUCAAGUGAUACUGUCGUGCUAGAGUACAGAAGGGGCAACUGGAAUUCUCGGUGUAGCGGUGAAAUGCGUAGAUAUCGAGAGGAACACCUGCGGCGAAGGCGGCUUCCUGGACCAAGACUGACGCUGAGGCGCGAAAGCGUGGGGAUCAAACAGGAUUAGAUACCCUUGUAGU